Molecule: RNA transcript, 5169 nt
Organism: Empidonax traillii (willow flycatcher)
Lineage: Eukaryota; Metazoa; Chordata; Aves; Passeriformes; Tyrannidae
Exons: 10
Source: RefSeq, a predicted model, not a curated record
GAGCCCCGCUCGGCCCCCUCAGCCCCUUUCGGGGCGGGGCCCGGGCCGGUGCCUCUCGCGCGCCGCGCCCGCCGUUGCCGUGGCGACGGGCUAAGCCGGGCCCGGGCGCGGAGGGGCCGGGCCGGAGCCGACCCGCGGCUCGGCGCUGCCGGGGCGGGCAUGCACAACAAAGGCGGCGGGAGACGCGUCCCGGGCGGGCUCCGCAGAUUGUGUUAUAACCUAUGAUCACAGAAAAUCCUGAUCCUCACAUUUCUCUGCUGUCACCUGUGGGCUCCUCCAGAGCCAUGGAGAAGGGGAACUCCAGCCCCACCAUGACAAGACCGGGUCUUCUGCGCAUGGCGACUCCACCCAUGUGAGAGCUCUCUUAAGUGAGUCCCCAGCAGCACACUGUGCUGUCUGUGGUCUGUGGACACUGACUGCCAUCUAAGCGACACCCCAGCUCCCUCCUGUCCCCCUAGACGCCACUGUCUUAGAGCCUCCAUGUGCAUUUGCUAUGACAUACAUCAGUGUUGAUGAGAGACAGGAACACUGCCGGGUGAUCUCGAGCUGCCAAAAUAAUCAGCUCUGUGCACAACAUGGCUUAAAGGAUUUUUCGGUUAGCAGCAUGCAUCCACUAAAGAACCUAGACACUCACAUUUUUUCUGGGGACUUCCACACUCUAGACUACUGCCACAAGGGCAAGGCACCUUUGGCCGGUCCUGUGGAAAACCGGAUGUAUCGGAGCGUGGAGAACCUUCACUGGGCAACAGUUGCCGACUCUGGGCUGUAUUCUCACUGCCGGAGCCUGGAUAACGAGAUCAUCUUUCGCUAUAGAGGCACCAGUCAGUGGACAGAAGGCUGUGUGGAUGUGGCCCCGGUACAGAACACAUCGGACUCUCUGAGAAACCUUUCUCUCCACGCUAAACAGACGUCUCGAUCGGCACACAACGUGCUCCUCCCUCCCUUUGCCAAAGUGCCUCAGUGGCUCUUCCCUUCUGCAGAGGAAAGAGCCCUACGUGGGGAUGCCAAAAAAGAGCUGAAGGAGAAGCUGAGGCUGCACAGCAGUAAGGUGGCAGAGCCCUGUAAGCCAGUGCGUCCCCAGGUGGCCCUGCCUGACCUGAUGGCCCGGGAGAUCUUUGAGUGCCAGGUAUGCCGGCAGUGCAAGAACGGUUGUGCUGUCAACUACUGCACGGUGCUGGUGGAACACACUGCACUCAGGCACAGCCUCACUGGGAGACAGGGACUGUGCUUUGCACACAGCAUCAUCAGUCCAGACGACAUCAAGCAGGAGGCUCAGAGGAGGCUUCAGCUCCGAAGGCAGAAUAGCUCCCCCAAUUUGCCCCUUCAGCACACUGGGGAAAGCCAUGAGAUGGGCAAAUCCAGAACAGCAGAAACCCUAGAACAAUACAGUGGGGAACCAGAUGACAAAGUCACAUUGGGACAGAGCAAGAAAGGUCGCUGUAAAGGGAGGCUCUACAUACCCACCUUUGAGGAAUUCAAGCAGAUGAGAAGAAAGGAAGGGAAUUCAUCUACCAGCAGCAGUGAGACAACAGAUUGCUUGAAUAAGGGUCUGCCUGCAAACCAGACACUGGAGGAGGAAAAGAAUGUCUGUUCAGAAGCUCUGGGGACCAAAGCUGUGAAUGAAUCUGCUGUCACAGCGGAGGAUGAUGAUGAUGAUGUAUUCCAUGAAAACCACACCUCUGCUGGCUUUUCCCAAUAUCCAGCCACAUGGGAUGGUUUCAGGAUGAGCAGUCCUGAGGUGAAGGACAAAACCUUCCAGACCUCCAGCCCAGAUACAUCGUCAGUCCCUAUUUGCUCCAGUCCAAUUCCACGAUCACCUUUACAGGCAGUAGCAAUACACAGAGCUGGGCAGGAGAUCUUGAGUGAUGAGCAGCAGAAAGGAGAGACAAGAAAAUUAAAUGAUGUCCUCCACCUUGCAGGGCAGUCCCCAGCUUCUGAAGCCCAGUCCUCUUGCUGUUCAUCGCUGCUGUUAGAAGCCACAGACUUAUCCAGCUACGGAGCUAAGCUACAAAAAAUGAAGGAUGAAUUCAUAGGUUCAGCCUUGGAACUUAUUAAGAAAAGCUGCAAUGCUGAGACUGUUGCCAAAUCCCCCUCCAAGGGACAGUGUGAUCUGAGGGAAGCUGAUCUCCCACCUCCGGAGGACAGCCAGCAGCCCACAGCGAUGUCCAUGGCAACAGAGACCUGGGAGGACAAGCCAAGCAAUGAGACAUCCAGCGACACUCCACCUGCAGGGAAUACUCCCAGUCCCAGCUGUCGCCGAUCCAGCUCUGACAUCGUCCACGAGAGCACGGACGGUGCGAAGGCCCAGCGGGAGUGCCGGCUGCGGCCCCACUUCAGUGACCCUAUGCCAACAGACUCGGUGAAGAGGAAGCAGCUGGAGCUGAAGAUCGCGGCUGCAGCGCGGCAGCACGCGCAGAAACGCCGGCAGGAGCGGGACUAUGGUCCAGUGGUAGCAAAAGCCAACCUCGGCCAUGGUGGCAGCUUUGACGAGACCCGCCGUGCCCCACGGGGCUCCCUCCGCUCCAGACACCACUGGAGCAAUGUCAGCAGCCUGAGCACGGACAGUGGGAUUGUUGGUGUGAACGAUGCCCGGGACGACCUGGAUCCCAGCGAGGGCACCCGGACCAAGUCAGCGGAUGUGGAGAGGGCAGAUAGUGGCAUUGGCCAGAUGCCAGCCAGGAAGUGGAGGAACAGGGCAUCUGAAACGCUGAGCUCCUUGCAGGCCUGGGAAGCCCACCGUCCCUGCACUGACUGCGGAGAAAGGGACCUGCCGGUGGAGACAGAUGUUCAGAACUGCAACCAGAGGCGGGCUGACCUCUGCGAGAAGUGCCGCAAGCGCAGGACGGAGCGCAAGGAGUCUGUGCUGGAGUUCGUCAACACAGAGGCCAGCUAUGGAGAGGACCUGCGCAUCAUUAAAGAGGAGUUCUACCUCCCCAUGCAGGCAGCCGGGCUGCUGAGCCAGGAGCAGCUCCUGGGCAUCUUCAGCAACAUCCAGGAGCUCAUCGACCUCAACGAGAACUUCCUGGAGAUACUUCAGGAAGAGAUCGAUCAGGCCUUUGACCAGGGGGAUGAUGACCUGAUGACCGUGUGCAUCGGAGAAAUAUUCCUAGAGUUUGUCAACAUGCUGCCGGCCUUCCAGACCUACUGCCUCCAGCAGUCCUCCUCUGUGAACAUGCUCAAUGCACUGGAGAAGGAAAAAGAGUUGCUCAGAAUAUUCCUCAAUGUCUCCCAGAAUGACAACACCGCACUGCGGCGGAUGAACCUGAGGUCCUUCCUGAUGGCUCCCCUGCAAAGAGUCACCAAGUACCCACUGCUGCUCAGCAGAAUCAUCAAGGCCACCACCGAGUACCACCCGGAUCACGGCAGCCUGCGGGAGGCCAAGAGCCGCAUCGAGUCCCACCUGGAGCACAUCAACAUGAAAACCAAGCAGGAGGGGAACACGUGGACCCUCCGAUCCUUUCGCCAGGACAGCAAGAAGAAGAGGGAAGUCAUUAAUAUUGAGAUGAGAGAAACUGCACUCAAAACUGUUGGUUGGCUGCGCGAGGAAACGCGAUUUGUGAUGGAGGGGUCUCUGCAGCUGGCCCAGCCCCCCGAUGGCCAGUGGGUGAAGAAAGGCAGCAAGACCCUGAAGUUCCAGAACAUGCAGGUCCUCCUCCUGGUGAACAUGAAACGUGUGUCCGAGUCCAGCCUGGAAUCAGCUGAGCCAGGGCCUGUGAAGGAUGCCGUGCUGGUACUCAUCAGAGACAAAAAUAACGGGAAGUUCCAUUUGCUCAGGGAGCCCUUGAGGCUGAGUAAUUGCAUUGUCUCCACUGAUCCCGACUGUGACGACACUUUUGAACUCAUUGAGAUCAGGAGGGAGGCGUUUGUGUUCCGGGACAGCGACCGGGCACGGACUCACCACUGGUUCAGGCAGAUCAGGCGGUACUCCAGGGAGCUGGGCUCCUGGAAGAAGCGGCGGAACGCGCUGCCCAACAUCAUGAUCAGCACUCCUCACACCAGGCCCUGAGUCCUGCACGGGCAGACUUGGCUUGGCCAAUGUCACGUGCAGAGACCAUCAGUGGCUUGAACUUGCUGUGCUCCAUGGACAACACAGGGAGGAGUCUGGCCCCCAAAGAUUCUCAACAGCACUGGAAGCACCACAGCUGGUCUCCAGCCUCAGGACUCGCAACCAGUUUGUGACUCGUAUAUACAGAGAUGGUCUCCCCUCGAGGAGCAGAUCACUGGAGGAAAAUACUGUUUAACUUGUUAAUAUUGCACUGCAGGAGAAUGAUGUAUGAUGCUUGCCAUUGCAUGGAUUGUGUUGAAAGCCAGUCUUGAUGAGAGAGGUUUCCACUAUUGACUGUAUUUCAUCAGCAUUAGGAGGAUUCCUACAAGCCCAAUUGUGUAUUUCUUCAGGUCAACAAGCAUCAGUGGGCACCACAUGAAGGCAGACAGAAGCCACCCUCAUAAAGCGUUCUAGUGCUUCAUUUUGUCCAAGAGGAAAUGGAAAGAUUUGCAUCAUCUGGAGGGUGCUCAAGACGUGAGGGUGGCUGCACAAAGCUGAGCGCUGUAGUGAGCAAUAGCUGUCAAAAUGCUUGUCAGAGCAGCAGCCUGGCUCCCUCAGGUGAGCUGGAACCCCCUCCAGCUAUAUUCCUAUUUCCUAGUUGCUGAACAAUAAUUGUGUGUUCCCCAAAAUACUGAACAGCCAGUGAAGAGCAUGAGGCAUUGCUUUAGUGUGCUGUUCGUUUUUCACAGAGAUGGAUGCCUGAGCAGAGCAGCUGCUGGAGGAAAAUUUCUCUUAUGCUGUCGUGGCAGAUCUGCAUCUAUGAGCCUUCAAGCCCCAUUCACCUCACACGCAAAAAGCAACAGCUUGUAGCACCUUUGUCUUCCCUGCCAGGAUACAAUGGCGCAGCCACCUUCUCUUCAUUACCUCCAGGGCAGCUUUGACAAGGCAAGGCAUAGGUACAAGUAAGUGUAACAGGUUAAUUUAUUCAAACAGCAAGUGGUUUUCACAGCCACGCAAGAGCUGCUGCUUUCUGGAAAGUUUUCAAUUACUUUCCAGCACAGUGAUUUUCUCCCCAUCAAUUCAAGCUCGAAACCAGCCAUGGACUGUUUGUACAGUCAUAUCUUUCUAUCAAGAUACCUUCAGCCAGCCUGGCUGUUCAAAAAGGUUAGAGAACAAUAAGUAUA